Molecule: unclassified non-coding RNA, 220 nt
Filed under: Hevea brasiliensis (rubber tree)
Lineage: Eukaryota; Viridiplantae; Streptophyta; Magnoliopsida; Malpighiales; Euphorbiaceae
Source: RNAcentral
GUUUAGUUUUUAAAAAUUAGAAUGUGAGGAGAAACUUGAAUCUUCCAUAUACAAAAUUGCAUUUUGUAGGAUUUUGCAUCAUUGUUUGAACCUUUGGUUAAAGUGUAUCAAGUUAGCUUAAUGAUGCUUCUUGGGUGGAAAUUUUUUUAUUGGCAUAAGAAUGUCUUGAAUUUGGAUGACCAUUUAGAUAAUUAUGGAACAGAUAUAGUGUCAUGAAGGG